UGCCUCUCUGCCUGAGCGUGGUAGGUGGCCAGCAUUUCCUGAAGGGCCUUUCUUCCAGUUACCUGUUCUUUCUUUCAUCCUGAAGCCUACAACUCCUAGGGAGAUGCUGAGGUUUGUGCUCGUUAUAGCAGCAACUGCUGAAAACUCUAAUUCACGCAAGUAGGAAUCAAGCAAAGGGAGGGUGCUCAGAUUAUGGAACGUCUCUAAGGCUAGUUAGCAAAGUGUAGGACCUUUAGGACUGAAGAACUGAGAAACCAAAUUACAUAUAUGCAGAUGCGACAAUUCUGGGCCAGAUUUCUCCCCUACAUGGGACUGAACUGAAAAAGAAGAUCCAGGGGAAAGGGAAGACUGGUGACUCUAACUAGCAAAUGGACAAGCCUUGACUGACCAGGCAAGAAAUAUUUGUAUAACAUUCCUGGACUAUAACACUUCACUCCAAGUUUUAAAGAAGUGCCAAUAAUAGAAGCAUUCAGACAUCAUUCCAUGGGUGACAUUUUCCUGCUGUGGGGUCUGACCCAUUACCCUUCAAACAACUAAUUAUUGGUCCAAAGAGAGAAAUGCCUGGGGAAUAUAUAUAGGGAAUAUGCAUAUAAAAUAAACAUCACAAUGAACAACUGAAGAAAAAGAAAUAUCUCAACACAUUUGACAGUAGUUAAGACGUCUAUCACCUGGAGAUGCUCUCAAAUCUUUAGUUACCUUAAGGAAACCUGGACUGACUUUAGGUGGCUGAGGCUAAACAAUAAAGGUGG
Molecule: long non-coding RNA, 749 nt
Organism: Hemicordylus capensis (graceful crag lizard)
Lineage: Eukaryota; Metazoa; Chordata; Lepidosauria; Squamata; Cordylidae
Exons: 6
Source: RefSeq, a predicted model, not a curated record